Stylophora pistillata is the source of this 216-nucleotide long non-coding RNA. The record is from RefSeq and is a predicted model, not a curated record. NCBI's taxonomy places the organism in Eukaryota, Metazoa, Cnidaria, Anthozoa, Scleractinia, Pocilloporidae.
UGAAAAACAAAGUGGCCAAACUUAUUAUGUUUUUAGGGACGAUGCUAACAAUGGUUUUGUUGAUGCGUGCAUUGAAUCCGCUUUCGCACGAAAAGGAAACGGAGGUUUAUUUGGAAAAACUUACCCAGGUGGAUUGCUACAGGAAGGGGUACUACAAAGAUCUUAAAAGGAAAUUCAAAUUAGAAAACGCCAUCCAGAGACACCGCUCAAAUAAGG